CCUACGGGUGGCUGCAGUCGAGAAUCAUUCACAAUGGGGGAAACCCUGAUGGUGAGACGCCGCGUGGGGGAAUGAAGGUCUUCGGAUUGUAAACCCCUGUCAUGUGGGAGAAACUUACAAAGAUAGUACCACAAGAGGAAGAGACGGCUAACGCGGUGCGAGCAGCCGCGGUAAUACAGAGGUCUCAAGCGUUGUUCGGAAGCACUGGGCGUAAAGCGUGCGUAGGCUGUUUCGUAAGUCGUGUGUGAAAGGCGCGGGCUCAACCCGCGGAUGGCACAUGAUAGUGCGAGACUAGAGGAAUUGAGGGGAACCGGAAUUCUCGGUGUAGCAGUGAAAUGCGUAGAUAUCGAGAGGAACACUCGUGGCGAAGGCGGGUUCCUGGACAUUAACUGACGCUGAGGCACGAAGGCCAGGGGAGCGAAAGGGAUUAGAUACCCGUGUAGUC
Molecule: ribosomal RNA, 445 nt
Filed under: uncultured bacterium
Lineage: Bacteria
Description: partial 16S ribosomal RNA
Rfam family: Bacterial small subunit ribosomal RNA
Source: RNAcentral